GGUGGUGGGUGUCUGUCCCCAUAGAACGCUGCGACAGCCCCUCCCGAGGAGGCUGAGAGUGCCGUUGGAGCCUCUGAGGCCGCCCAGCGGCCCCCUGGCUCCGUUUGUGCCGGCAUCCCCCGCCCUUGAGGUGAAGUGGCGUUCGGUCUUGGCGUGGACUAAGAUGACUAAAGCCUGGCCUCCCCGCACCCUACAAGGGGCCCUGUGCUUACACUGUCAUUGAGAAGGAUGCAAGGAAGUAAUUUAGCUUUCAUCUUGGAAAUGGUGUGGUUCAGUUAAGACUUGAAACACAGCUCUGUCUAGGAUGUCCACGUGUGUUGGCCGGAACUUCCUAGCUGCUUUUCCUGACUCGUAAUGAAGCCGAGGGAAUAUCUGCUGGGACAGCAAGGUUCACAGUGGGUGUCUGCAGAUUAUCGCCGCUACCUUUGGGUCCUGUAGUGACCUUUAGCUCUGGAAAAAAACACGGGUGUUUUAAAAAGUUCACCGUGUCUUCAAAACGCAUUGUCAAAAGUCUUGAGGCAGGCAAUUUUGAAAAAUAGCCUCAGGACUGUCACGUGUCAUAAACAAUUGCAUGAAGCGUUGAUUGUGAUGACUGACUUUGUUGGUCAGCCAUCAAAAGAUGUUCCUGCUGCUAAAGUGUGAGACCAAAUGAGGAUUAUCCAUCGAAUAAGCAUAGUGACCCUCAAUACUUACGCAGAGGACAUUUGUCUGAAGAAUGGCUCUCAGGCAUGGGCUGGCAGAAGCGAUGUUUGUAAUGCAAGGAAUAUAUCCGGAAUGCGACAUUGCCGUGACGGCAGCACGAGCUCAGCUGACACCUUUCUACUGCACUGUGUAUCACUGACCUGUGUGGCCAACCUUUGGCAAGACACAGUGCUCUGAAUGCCUCUGCUCAGGUACAGAUUUACCCAGAGGACUCUGAGGACUUUGUCUCUUUCUUCCCCCAUGUUAGCAGCGUGGGCUGCAGCAGGCCUGUCAUGGCAUACAGUGGUGCCUGUCCACCCCUCGUCUCCAUCCUGUAGCUAUGCUUCUCCAAACCUCACCACCUACCACCCGACCUUAUGAAACACAAGAACCACCCUAGUCCUCCUGCUUCCUCCAGCCUCACAACCCCUUCCCAGGGAGCGUGUGUUCUCCAUCCUCGUGGCA
Molecule: long non-coding RNA, 1146 nt
Organism: Chroicocephalus ridibundus (black-headed gull)
Lineage: Eukaryota; Metazoa; Chordata; Aves; Charadriiformes; Laridae
Exons: 3
Source: RefSeq, a predicted model, not a curated record